GACGAACGCUGGCGGCGUGCUUAACACAUGCAAGUCGAACGAAGUGGCGAACGGGUGAGUAACGCGUAAUUAACCUGCCCUUCAGAGGGGGACAACAGUUGGAAACGACUGCUAAUACCGCAUACUGAAGGUGGGGAUUGCGUCGGAUGAGGUAGUUGGAGGGGUAACGGCCCACCAAGGCGAUGAUCAGUAGCCGGUCUGAGAGGAUGAACGGCCACAUUGGGACUGGAACACGGCCCAGACUCCUACGGGAGGCAGCAUGGGGGGAUCUUCCGCAAUGGACGAAAGUCUGACGGAGCAACGCCGCGUGAGUGGUGACGGCCUUCGGGUUGUAAAGCUCUGUUAAUCGGGACGCGGUACCGGAAUAGAAAGCCACGGCUAACUACGUGCCAGCAGCCGCGGUAAUUC
This 408-nucleotide ribosomal RNA is filed under the name uncultured bacterium. RNAcentral describes it as "partial 16S ribosomal RNA". It matches the Rfam family "Bacterial small subunit ribosomal RNA", at positions 28 to 526 of the family's 1533-position model. The record is from RNAcentral.